Molecule: ribosomal RNA, 253 nt
Filed under: uncultured bacterium
Lineage: Bacteria
Description: partial 16S ribosomal RNA
Rfam family: Bacterial small subunit ribosomal RNA
Source: RNAcentral
UACAGAGGUCUCAAGCGUUGUUCGGAUUCACUGGGCGUAAAGGGUGUGUAGGUGGCGCGCUAAGUCGGGUGUGAAAUUUCGGAGCUUAACUCCGAAACUGCAUUCGAUACUGGCGUGCUUGAGGACUGGAGAGGAGACUGGAAUUCAUGGUGUAGCAGCGAAAUGCGUAGAGAUCAUGAGGAAGACCAGUGGCGAAGGCGGGUCUCUGGACAGUUCCUGACACUGAGACACGAAGGCCAGGGGAGCAAACGGG